Molecule: ribosomal RNA, 301 nt
Filed under: uncultured bacterium
Lineage: Bacteria
Description: partial 16S ribosomal RNA
Rfam family: Bacterial small subunit ribosomal RNA
Source: RNAcentral
CAGCCGCCGCGGGAAUACGUAGGGUGCAAGCGUUAAUCGGAAUUACUGGGCGUAAAGCGUGUGCAGGCGGUUAUAUAAGACAGAUGUGAAAUCCCCGGGCUCAACCUGGGAACUGCAUUUGUGACUGUAUAGCUAGAGUACGGCAGAGGGGGAUGGAAUUCCGCGUGUAGCAGUGAAAUGCGUAGAUAUGCGGAGGAACACCGAUGGCGAAGGCAAUCCCCUGGGCCUGUACUGACGCUCAUGCACGAAAGCGUGGGGAGCAAACAGGAUUAGAUACCCGCGUAGUCCCUGUCUCUUAUAA